Molecule: ribosomal RNA, 472 nt
Filed under: uncultured bacterium
Lineage: Bacteria
Description: SSU rRNA
Rfam family: Bacterial small subunit ribosomal RNA
Source: RNAcentral
AGGACGAACGCUGGCGGCGUGCUUAACACAUGCAAGUCGAGCGGAAAGGCCCUUCGGGGUACUCGAGCGGCGAACGGGUGAGUAACACGUGAGCAACCUGCCCUUAGCUCCGGGAUAGCUCCGGGAAACCGGAAUUAAUACCGGAUACGACCACGGCCGACAUCUGCUGUGGUGGAAAGGAUUCCGGCUAAGGAUGGGCUCGCGGCCUAUCAGCUAGUUGGUGGAGUAACGGCCCACCAAGGCGACGACGGGUAGCCGGCCUGAGAGGGCGACCGGCCACACUGGGACUGAGACACGGCCCAGACUCCUACGGGAGGCAGCAGUGGGAAUAUUGCGCAAUGGGCGAAAGCCUGACGCAGCGACGCCGCGUGGGGGAUGAAGGCCUUCGGGUUGUAAACCCUUUCAGCAGGGACGAAGCGAAAGUGACGGUACCUGCAGAAGAAGCGCCGGCUAACUACGCGCCAGCAGCCGC